RNAcentral lists this ribosomal RNA (398 nucleotides) under uncultured bacterium. Its description in RNAcentral is "bacterial SSU rRNA". It matches the Rfam family "Bacterial small subunit ribosomal RNA", at positions 357 to 772 of the family's 1533-position model. The record is from RNAcentral.
GGGAAUUUUGCGCAAUGGGGGAAACCCUGACGCAGCAACGCCGCGUGGAGGAUGAAGUCUCUUGGGACGUAAACUCCUUUCGAUCGGGAAGAUGAUGACGGUACCGAUAGAAGAAGCCCCGGCUAACUUCGUGCCAGCAGCCUCGGUAAUACGAGGGGGGCAAGCGUUGUUCGGAAUUAUUGGGCGUAAAGGGUGCGUAGGCGGUUGGGUAAGUCUUAUGUGAAAUCUUCGGGCUCAACUCGAAGUCUGCAUGAGAAACUGCCUGGCUUGAGUGUGGGAGAGGUGAGUGGAAUUUCCGGUGUAGCGGUGAAAUGCGUAGAUAUCGGAAGGAACACCUGUGGCGAAAGCGGCUCACUGGACCAUAACUGACGCUGAGGCACGAAAGCUAGGGGAGCAAA